UACCUGGUUGAUCCUGCCAGUAAUCAUAUGCUUGUCUCAAAGAUUAAGCCAUGCAUGUCUAAGUACAUGCCGAAAUAAGGCGAAACCGCGAAUGGCUCAUUAAAUCAGUUAUGGUUCCUUAGAUCGUUUCUUCCUACUUGGAUAACUGUGGCAAUUCUAGAGCUAAUACAUGCAGUGAGCCUGGAGCCCUUUGGGUAACGGGUGCUUUUAUUAGACCAAGAUCGAUCGGGUUUCGGCCCGUAUUGUGUGGUGACUCUGGAUAACUUUGUGCUGAUCGCAUGGCCACGAGCCGGCGACGUUUCUUUCAAGUGUCUGCCUUAUCAACUUUCGAUGGUAGGUUACUUGCUUACCAUGGUUGUUACGGGUAACGGAGAAUCAGGGUUCGAUUCCGGAGAGGGAGCCUGAGAAACGGCUACCACAUCCAAGGAAGGCAGCAGGCGCGCAAAUUACCCACUCCCGGCACGGGGAGGUAGUGACGAAAAAUAACAAUACGGGACUCUUUUGAGGCCCCGUAAUUGAAAUGAGUACACUCUAAAUCCUUUAACGAGGAUCAAUUGGAGGGCAAGUCUGGUGCCAGCAGCCGCGGUAAUUCCAGCUCCAAUAGCGUAUACUAAAGCUGCUGCGGUUAAAAAGCUCGUAGUUGGAUCUCAGUUCCAGACGAGUAGUGCAUCUACCCGAUGCGACGGCUCGGACUGAACAUCAUGCCGGUUCUUUCUUGGUGCACUUCAUUGUGUGCCUCGAGAUGGCCGGUGCUUUUACUUUGAAAAAAUUAGAGUGCUCAACGCAGGCGAGUCGCCUGAAUAAACUUGCAUGGAAUAAUAGAACAAGACCUCGUUUCUGUUCUGUUGGUUUUUGGAAUACGAGGUAAUGAUUAAGAGGGACGGACGGGGGCAUUCGUAUUGCGGCGCUAGAGGUGAAAUUCUUGGACCGUCGCAAGACGAACUACUGCGAAAGCAUUUGCCAAGAAUGUUUUCUUUGAUCAAGAACGAAAGUCAGAGGUUCGAAGGCGAUCAGAUACCGCCCUAGUUCUGACCAUAAACGAUGCCAACCAGCGAUCCGCCUGAGUUACUCAAAUGACUCGGCGGGCAGCUUCCGGGAAACCAAAGUAUUUGGGUUCCGGGGGAAGUAUGGUUGCAAAGCUGAAACUUAAAGGAAUUGACGGAAGGGCACCACCAGGAGUGGAGCCUGCGGCUUAAUUUGACUCAACACGGGAAAACUUACCCGGCCCGGACACUGGGAGGAUUGACAGAUUGAGAGCUCUUUCUUGAUUCGGUGGAUGGUGGUGCAUGGCCGUUCUUAGUUGGUGGAGCGAUUUGUCUGGUUAAUUCCGAUAACGAACGAGACUCUAGCCUAUUAAAUAGGUGCGGGGUUCCCAGCACCUUACAACCUUCUUAGAGGGACAAGCGGCUCCUAGCCGCACGAAACAGAGCAAUAACAGGUCUGUGAUGCCCUUAGAUGUCCGGGGCCGCACGCGCGCUACACUGAAGGAAGCAGCGUGUCUUUAUCCCUGUCUGAAAAGACUGGGUAACCCGUGGAACUUCUUUCGUGAUUGGGAUAGGGGCUUGCAAUUGUUCCCCUUGAACGAGGAAUUCCCAGUAAGCGCGAGUCAUAAGCUCGCGUUGAUUACGUCCCUGCCCUUUGUACACACCGCCCGUCGCUACUACCGAUUGAAUGAUUUAGUGAGGUCUUCGGACCGAUGUCCGGCGCGGCCUUUCGGUUGCGCCGGUCUGUUGGAAAGAUGACCAAACUUGAUCAUUUAGAGGAAGUAAAAGUCGUAACAAGGUUUCCGUAGGUGAACCUGCGGAAGGAUCAUUA
This 1815-nucleotide ribosomal RNA is filed under the name Rhipicephalus sanguineus (brown dog tick). Its description in RNAcentral is "small subunit ribosomal RNA". It matches the Rfam family "Eukaryotic small subunit ribosomal RNA". The record is from Rfam by way of RNAcentral. Lineage: Eukaryota; Metazoa; Arthropoda; Arachnida; Ixodida; Ixodidae.